This 73-nucleotide transfer RNA is filed under the name Lachnospiraceae bacterium. Its description in RNAcentral is "tRNA-Thr". It matches the Rfam family "tRNA". Rfam says of the family: Transfer RNA (tRNA) molecules are approximately 80 nucleotides in length. Lineage: Bacteria; Bacillati; Bacillota; Clostridia; Lachnospirales; Lachnospiraceae. The record is from RNAcentral.
GCUGCUGUGGCACAGUCGGUAGCGCACCUCAUUGGUAGUGAGGAGGUCACCAGUUCGAUUCUGGUCAGCAGCU